GGUUAAGCGACUAAGCGUACACGGUGGAUGCCCUGGCAGUCAGAGGCGAUGAAGGACGUGCUAAUCUGCGAUAAGCGUCGGUGAGGUGAUAUGAACCGUUAUAACCGGCGAUUUCCGAAUGGGGAAACCCAGUGUGUUUCGACACACUAUCAUUAACUGAAUCCAUAGGUUAAUGAGGCGAACCGGGGGAACUGAAACAUCUAAGUACCCCGAGGAAAAGAAAUCAACCGAGAUUCCCCCAGUAGCGGCGAGCGAACGGGGAGGAGCCCAGAGCCUGAAUCAGUGUGUGUGUUAGUGGAAGCGUCUGGAAAGGCGUGCGAUACAGGGUGACAGCCCCGUACACAAAAAUGCACAUAUUGUGAGCUCGAUGAGUAGGGCGGGACACGUGGUAUCCUGUCUGAAUAUGGGGGGACCAUCCUCCAAGGCUAAAUACUCCUGACUGACCGAUAGUGAACCAGUACCGUGAGGGAAAGGCGAAAAGAACCCCGGCGAGGGGAGUGAAAAAGAACCUGAAACCGUGUACGUACAAGCAGUGGGAGCCUCUUAAUGGGGUGACUGCGUACCUUUUGUAUAAUGGGUCAGCGACUUAUAUUCUGUAGCAAGGUUAACCGAAUAGGGGAGCCGAAGGGAAACCGAGUCUUAACUGGGCGUUAAGUUGCAGGGUAUAGACCCGAAACCCGGUGAUCUAGCCAUGGGCAGGUUGAAGGUUGGGUAACACUAACUGGAGGACCGAACCGACUAAUGUUGAAAAAUUAGCGGAUGACUUGUGGCUGGGGGUGAAAGGCCAAUCAAACCGGGAGAUAGCUGGUUCUCCCCGAAAGCUAUUUAGGUAGCGCCUCGUGAAUUCAUCUCCGGGGGUAGAGCACUGUUUCGGCAAGGGGGUCAUCCCGACUUACCAACCCGAUGCAAACUGCGAAUACCGGAGAAUGUUAUCACGGGAGACACACGGCGGGUGCUAACGUCCGUCGUGAAGAGGGAAACAACCCAGACCGCCAGCUAAGGUCCCAAAGUCAUGGUUAAGUGGGAAACGAUGUGGGAAGGCCCAGACAGCCAGGAUGUUGGCUUAGAAGCAGCCAUCAUUUAAAGAAAGCGUAAUAGCUCACUGGUCGAGUCGGCCUGCGCGGAAGAUGUAACGGGGCUAAACCAUGCACCGAAGCUGCGGCAGCGACACUAUGUGUUGUUGGGUAGGGGAGCGUUCUGUAAGCCUGUGAAGGUGGCCUGUGAGGGUUGCUGGAGGUAUCAGAAGUGCGAAUGCUGACAUAAGUAACGAUAAAGCGGGUGAAAAGCCCGCUCGCCGGAAGACCAAGGGUUCCUGUCCAACGUUAAUCGGGGCAGGGUGAGUCGACCCCUAAGGCGAGGCCGAAAGGCGUAGUCGAUGGGAAACAGGUUAAUAUUCCUGUACUUGGUGUUACUGCGAAGGGGGGACGGAGAAGGCUAUGUUGGCCGGGCGACGGUUGUCCCGGUUUAAGCGUGUAGGCUGGUUUUCCAGGCAAAUCCGGAAAACCAAGGCUGAGGCGUGAUGACGAGGCACUACGGUGCUGAAGUGACAAAUGCCCUGCUUCCAGGAA
RNAcentral lists this ribosomal RNA (1568 nucleotides) under Escherichia coli. RNAcentral describes it as "partial 23S ribosomal RNA". It matches the Rfam family "Bacterial large subunit ribosomal RNA", at positions 1 to 1614 of the family's 2925-position model. Lineage: Bacteria; Pseudomonadati; Pseudomonadota; Gammaproteobacteria; Enterobacterales; Enterobacteriaceae. The record is from RNAcentral.